GAGGGUAUAGCUCAGUGGUAAAGCAUGUGCUUAGCAUGCACGAAGUCCUGGGUUUAAUCUCCAGUUUCUCCA
Molecule: transfer RNA, 72 nt
Filed under: Camelus bactrianus (Bactrian camel)
Lineage: Eukaryota; Metazoa; Chordata; Mammalia; Artiodactyla; Camelidae
Also listed under: 1 other name
Rfam family: tRNA
About the family: Transfer RNA (tRNA) molecules are approximately 80 nucleotides in length. Their secondary structure includes four short double-helical elements and three loops (D, anti-codon, and T loops).
Source: Rfam by way of RNAcentral